RNAcentral lists this ribosomal RNA (254 nucleotides) under uncultured bacterium. RNAcentral describes it as "partial 16S ribosomal RNA". It matches the Rfam family "Bacterial small subunit ribosomal RNA", at positions 524 to 776 of the family's 1533-position model. The record is from RNAcentral.
UACAGAGGGUGCGAGCGUUGUCCGGAAUUAUUGGGCGUAAAGAGCUCGUAGGCGGUGUGUCGCGUCGGCCGUGAAAACUUGGGGCUUAACUCUGAGCGUGCGGUCGAUACGGGCAUCACUUGAGUUCGGCAGGGGAGACUGGAAUUCCUGGUGUAGCGGUGAAAUGCGCAGAUAUCAGGAGGAACACCGGUGGCGAAGGCGGGUCUCUGGGCCGAUACUGACGCUGAGGAGCGAAAGCAUGGGGAGCGAACAGG